Molecule: ribosomal RNA, 492 nt
Filed under: uncultured bacterium
Lineage: Bacteria
Description: partial 16S ribosomal RNA
Rfam family: Bacterial small subunit ribosomal RNA
Source: RNAcentral
GAUGAACGCUGGCGGCGUGCUUAACACAUGCAAGUCGAACGAUGAAGCUGCCUGCUUGCAGGUGGUGGAUUAGUGGCGAACGGGUGAGUAUCACGUGAGUAACCUGCCCUUGACUCUGGGAUAAGCCCGGGAAACUGGGUCUAAUACCGGAUAUGACCUCUCAUCGCAUGGUGGGGGGUGGAAAGCUUUUAACGGUCUUGGAUGGGCUCGCGGCCUAUCAGCUUGACGGGGGGGUAGUGGCCUACCGUGGCUUUGACGGGUAGCCGGCCUGAGAGGGUGACCGGCCACACUGGGAUUGAGACACGGCCCAGACUCCUACGGGAGGCAGCAGUGGGGAAUAUUGCACAAUGGGCGCAAGCCUGAUGCAGCGACGCCGCGUGCGGGAUGACGGCCUUCGGGUUGUAAACCGCUUUCAGUACAGAGGAAGCCCUUUUUGGGUGACGGUAUGUGCAGAAGAAGCGCCGGCUAACUACGUGCCAGCAGCCGCUGUAA